GUAACAAAGCACCUCUAAGAUUCACUAAUUAACAAUUAAUUUAAGCAGCACAAAAACUAAAGUGUGUCUUGGCCCGGCGCAGUGACUUCCUGUAGUCUUGUCAUCACUGUGAGGUUGCCAGGCAGAGAUUCCAGGAAGGAAAUUGUUUCUAGUCUUUAUACAAUUCAGUAUUUUCAGACCAGGAUGUGGCAAAUGAGAAAAUGUUCUAUCAUUUGACAAAUUAUAAAAGCAUUUAGCGAUAAUAAGAUAAAAAAGUUACUUAUUAAUGUAACAACACAGUACAUGCAGUAAAACAGUCAUGAGUCCAAAGAAUGAGCAGACUGACCAAUGAUCUACGGCUCAAGUUUAGGAAAAGUAACUACUGACUUGUCAUGUCCUAACAAACAUCAAAUAGAUGUUGAUUGGAACUGAGCAACCAACCAGUCAUUAUCAUAAAAAAAAAAACACACUAUGACAGAAUACUGCCAAUAUGUAUCUGAAAAUCAAACAAAUAAAAUCCCAAAUCUGUAAAUACUCUGCAGCAGCUGGCAGAAAGAGGAGGUCAUCUUAUAUGGAGAAAUAUAAGCUUUUUAUGGGUGAAUAAAUGUUAAAAAGUAGUGGUGACAAAACAUAAAAAAUAUAUAUAUAUAGGCUACAUACAGUAUUAGCAGUUUGAAUUAAACUGAGGCUCCCUGGGAAAAUUUUAUGCCAAACUCCCUUUAAGAAAUACGACAUAUUAACAAAUUCCUUACGUGUCCGCAAAAACACUCUAGAAACACAAGAUAAAAGGCAUCAUAUGUCGACAGUUUUCUUGUCAAUUUGGCAUGAAUAUAAUCCAUAAUGAUAAACUGUAUUUCUGUACUUAACAUACUUUCCUUACUUCACAUUUUGGAUGUUGUGAGUUUACUGUGUCCUUUCAGAUUUUAACGCAUCAGAGACGCAGGACGCAUACCUAGCAACAUCACUGACAGUGCAAUCAUUAGAUCCACCAUAACCAUUUAGGAGCAGUGGGUAGACCCACAGUGCACCAACUCCUGUUUUGAGGCCAGUGCCUCAGUCAAGGGCAAUGGCAGGAUUCCUACAGUAGUACCUCACAUACUGUAAAUGUCUUCUGUGAUUAGAAAAAAAGAGAUAAAAUGGGUGUGAGAGAAGAAGAGCAGGAGUGUAACAAUAAAGUGGGACGAGUGUUACUCUGUACAUCGUCUGUAUAUCACUUUGACCUAGUCAUCCACAAGCAUAUGUAUUAGCACUGAUAAAAACUUUGCUGAUAACCAAGGCUUAUCUACUGCAGACUCCUUCACUCUCACACACACACACACACACACACACACACACACACACACUGAUAGCAGGCGAUAACUCAAACACUGUUAACGGUAAAUGACAUCAUAGUACCCCAUUUAUUUAAAAAAAGGCAACAGAUACUGACUGGGGAGCUGAUAGGAAAAUAGGCAAUAAAACACUGGUGAUGAUUGAGACAAUACAAUAAGUCUUUCAUGCAUAUACCUCAGUUAUUCAACUUUUAUUGCAUGCACACUCAAAUUUGAGCAAACACACAAAAAUUACAGCAUUCAUAAACAACCACACUAGAUGCCAGUGUGCACCACAUUGUCCCCUACUGUUUUGUUUAUGACUGUUAUGUUUGCUGCAGACUUCUCCCAUGAACGUUUAGUCAUAAAUUAUAGUCAGUCACCCACUCACACACAGAUCAGUGCAUGUCCAUUCAUUUAAUUACAGGGCAAAUAGUAGUUUGUUCAGUGGUGGCAGCAGCACCUUGUCUAAUGAUGUGUUCCUUUGAAAGUCAAGUAGAAAGGAAGUUCAUCAGUGAUAGAGACUGAGCCUACGUGUAGGCUGUAGUACAGCUGUGUCACGGGACUAACCUCGCAGAUGCAGAAAAACGUGCUGCUGUCAGAAACCUGGACAGACUGGAGGGCAAACCCACUCCUUGCUGAAAAAGCCCUAAACACACCCAAAAAUCCAACCCAUCCCACCCACAGGCACAAAUCCUUGGUCAAAUUACCUCGAAUGCUGUUUGCCUCCAGCAAGGUAUAGCUAGACAAAGUGCCAUGAUGCAAGCUUUUCGAUUUCACUUUCAGUGUUGAUCUGACUGUACACCACAGAGCAUCGACAAGCUCUGACUAGUCUCGACUGCUCACUUACUGAGAGGACUACCAAGCCACCCUUAAAAGAUUUCAAAUGUGCAAAAUCUGAUUAACCAAGCUUGCAGUAGUUCAUUCAUAUACAACUUAAAGUGAGGACACCCAAGACUAGGACUACGACAGGAUGAGAUUAUCUCUGCUAGUCUGGUCCACCUCAGUGUGGACCUGCAGUAUAUGAUCACAUUGACCAGACUGAAUUACAGUUUGCCUGCCCAAUGUUGAUAUCAGAUUUCAUCAAAUCUAUUCUAUGAACAUAAAAACGAUAAACAUAGACAAUACAACACUGUCCAAAUUUAGAUUAAAGGGAUGGAAAUCCAGCAAGGACCAGAUUCAGUUACAUUUUUUAUAACAGCUAAGUUGCUCAGUCGUACCCGGGGCUUCCAAUAAGCAAAGUAAGAGCUUUGUGAAUUUGCCCAGGCAUCUGACCUGUCACAUGUUUAAAUUUAUGUUCCUAUCAAAACACGACUUAUAGUCUACAGACAUGCUAUCGGCUCUGCGAGGCUGUACUUAGGCACAGUGGUGCUUUGAGCUAAAUGCUUACGUCAGCAUGCUAACAUGAUACAAUACAAUGACGAUGCUAACACGCUGUUUAGCAGGUAUAAUGUUUACCAUGUUCACUGUCUCGGUUUAGUGUGUUAGCAUGCUAACAAUUGCUAAUUACCACUAAACACAAAGUACAGUUGAGGCUGACAUUUGGUCAUAAACAAACGUAUUGGACAAAAAAAAUUUGACCUUAUGAUGGCACUAGAUUAAAAGUCAGGGGAUCACCAGAGUCAAUAGGAUUCAUCCUCUGGGGAUCAUGAAUCAGUAUUUCAAGGGAAUCCAUCAAAUUUUUGUUGAGAUAUUUCAGUCUGGACCAAAGUGGUGGGCCGAACAACAAACCGAUAUUGCCAUCCCUAGAGCCAUGCUGCUAGCAUAGGCUUCAAAAAUAAAUCAAGGUUCAGUAGGCCAUGGCUAAGGUACCACCUCUGCCUCACUUUGAGCCAAGAAAUACCAUGUUAGUGUGUGAAUACAUUUUAAAUCAGAUUACCCAGCUGUCUAAUGCUAAAGGGAGACGACGUUCUAACAAAGUUGACCAACUCUAUUGCAACGCGGUGUUCGAAUAAUUUAGAUAGUGGGAAUAAAAUAUUUACUAGUAAGCAAUGACCAGAUUUACUUACACCCACCUAAGACCGGAUAUUUAUACUGGAGAUGGACAAAAUAACAGGAACAACUGGCAAAAUCACACAAUCCAAUGCAUCCUUACAAUGAAUACGAUUUAAGCUCAGAAUGUUCCGUCUUUGUUGAGACUGGUGUUGAAUCAGCUCUAUGGUGAAUUCUGAAGCGGCAGUUUGCGGUACUGUUGUAUCAGAAUGUAUUAUACUUUAAGGUGUUCCUAUUAUGUUGUCCACAACCUCCACUUAGUGUUAUUCAGCACAUAAUUAGACAGAACAGUAUAGAAGGGUCUAUUUUCAUGGUCUGCUUCCCUUCACCAUGAGUUAGAAAAGACUGGGGUUUUUUGAACAAACUAUAACUUGUUAUAGUUUAUGGAAACAAUAACAAUGAAGGAGGGAUUGUGUGUGUGUGUAUGAUUGUGUAUGUUUCCUCUAAACAAACAAGUGGGAUUUCAGUGUACAGCAUGUGUAUCUCUGCGUGUGCAGAAGUAGAGCAGAGGGCCCUGAACAGAUCUCAGCCAACCACCUUCUCUUGGCACCAGUUCUUCUUUUGUUGUGGUUCCUGUCAGAAACAAAAGAUCCAUAUUCCAUCUCUUCAGUAGGGCCCUAAACCACUGGCCCUCUUUGGAAUGACUGGCUUUCAUCUAACAUCCAAGACCCAACAAGCAUAGUCAGGGCCUGCUGACUGGCAAUGUCUCUGAAUUUGCACUAAAACCAAAGAAAUAACAAAAAAAAAAUUGUAAAAAUUGCUAUAUUUUUGAAAACACUAGCUGCAAACAAAAAUAUUUCAAGCUGUUCUUGGAGCUGGGCCUGUAGUGCAAUUCAGACUGUUUAAGGUUGAUUUCAAAUACAGGUUUGCUUCCAGGAAGGGUGGAGCACACUGCAAAAUCGUCCAAGUAGACACCAAAAUUGCUAUGGAGAGGUGAUGGCAAGUAUUAAGCAUUUUCCCCGCAUUCACUGUUAAAUAUAAGGCACAGAUUACUUUGCUGCUUUUUUAAGUGUGUAAUUACUGUAUAUUCAAGGUCAGGACUAUUUGACUUAAGACCUGUGAUUAGUGUUGUUCACAGACAGCUUGUCCUCCAACCGGAAGGUGGGAGUUCAAGCUCACUGACAGCAAGGAUCAGCCCAGCUAAAGUGUGUGCAUAUAUAUGUGUGUGUUUAACUAAUGGCAUUAGUUUGGUUGCAGAAGUGGAGGGGACUUAAUUUAUUUCUAUACAUUCAUAUCAAUCUAGCAAAUAAAUUAUGAUGACAUUUUUGUCAUGCUUUUCCUAACUGGUAUUAAAACAAAAUAACUAAUAUCUAAUAAUUUGUGAUAAAUAAUGUAAUUGUAAUUGCAUAUUUACUACAAAGAGCACUGUCCUUUACUGCCUUAUCUUUGAUUGAUUUUCAGUUCUUUUUAGGAGAAUAUUAAUUGUAAAUAAAAACAUAGAUUAAAUUAUUUCUAUGCUUGAAAAACAUGCAGAGGAGGUGAACGUACCGUUUUCAGCCCUGAUUCUUGCCUGCAGGUUUUCCUUUCAGGCUGCAUACAGACUGCAGUUAGGGCAGCCUGGCCUGAGAGGCAAAACAAGGGGCAAAAAAGUCUGAAAAGCACUCAUUGCUUCUCCCUGCUAAAGCUUCAUUCCUGUGUGGUAAUAUUUGAAGAUGAGUGUAUCAACUUUUCUAUCCUCCCCAGUGGAAAUUACACCCUUGUGUGUGAAAGGCAUGGAAAGCGAACUGGCCAGUGUAUUCUUCUUCUGGAAUCAUUACAGUAAUAAAAACCUGUUACACUA
Molecule: long non-coding RNA, 5061 nt
Organism: Siniperca chuatsi (mandarin fish)
Lineage: Eukaryota; Metazoa; Chordata; Actinopteri; Centrarchiformes; Sinipercidae
Exons: 2
Source: RefSeq, a predicted model, not a curated record